Molecule: long non-coding RNA, 3913 nt
Organism: Mobula hypostoma (lesser devil ray)
Lineage: Eukaryota; Metazoa; Chordata; Chondrichthyes; Myliobatiformes; Myliobatidae
Exons: 3
Source: RefSeq, a predicted model, not a curated record
AUGCUUGUGCUGAAAUGAAAGAGAGACAAACACUCCGGAGUUAUUUUGAUCGAUUCAUUUUCGUUGUGAUUGCUAUAAUUAUUAACGACAUCGGUCCAAAAUUCAUUUAUUAAAAUAUUGUAGGCGAUUGCGGAAGAUAAAAGUCGCUGAAAGGUUCUUCAGUAUAAGGAAUCAUUCUUUUCUGUAAGAGUGUUGCAGUAUCUGGUAUUGAGAACGAAAACCUGCGAGUUUCACUUGGGUUGGUGUGGCAGAAUCUACCGGCGAUGCACUUGAACUUUAAAAAAAAACUUAACUGUUGAAAAUGGCGGCGGGAAGGGGAGUGAGGAACAAUGGAAAAAGUUUUGAAAAGUCUUGUACGUUCGGUCACAAAAAGACUAUUUAAUUCUAAAUGGAAAAUCAAAAAAAAGUCUGAAAAUCGCCACAUUAAGGACAGUUUUCUUCAGAGGUACAUGUUACGCAAAAACUGAAAUGAAAAUCUUGACAACCUGCAAUUUCUAAGAAUCAGUUGGAUUGGAAAUCACAUUGGGAUUUUGCCUCAUCAGUACAGAAGAAAAAAUAUUUACUCCUUUUUUGGUCCACUGUGUCGUAGAAACAAGAACUCAAUAGCUUCGCUGUGUUACAGUCCAGCCCGGUUAUGGUUCUCGCUUACUAGUUAUUAUUCGUAUUUACUGGAGAGAUCUGUGCGGAUUCAAUAAAAGGUUUUUAAAAUGUCACAAUUUCUAAUGCCGGACAGUUUAAAUAUAAACGAAAUAACGGGCUUCUCUUGUUUUCCUUAUUCUAACGUUGCUAUAAACCUAAAUAUGCCGUGACAAGGUACAAAAAAAAAAUCAACAGAUACCAGUGAUUAUCUACUUUAUUAGAAGUUUUCCUGGUAUAACUUAUGAAAACGUCUGUUUAAUGCUGAGUCUGAGUGUUUGACGUUAAAAUCUCCAAUGAAAAAUAAAUCGGAGCCUCCCAGGAAUUACUUUAGUUCUGCGAGAGAUAUAAUCAUGUGGAGGAGAAUAACAUGAUUUUUUUUUAAAUAAAUGCCUUCUCUGCGUCCUUAUUUGGUCACUUAGUUUGCAAAGUACAAAUUUUUAAAACGGGACCUCUUCGUGCUCAAAAACUCUGCUGAAGGGGCUGUAACGUGUGUAAUAUUGUAAGGUUGACCUUAAUAGUCUCUCGGCAUCUUUGUAUCCUUGUAUUGGACUUUCGCAGUACGAAAAAGUGGAUCUGUUUUAUUUGGGGUUAACCCGGAAAGUCACUCAAUGUAAGACAGCUUCGUAUUUUAAAAAGUACUUUCUGCAUGCAAGGAGAACUGGGUGUUGAGUUUAUCUGCCCUACCCUGCCGACAGCGACAGUAAGAAGGACUUGGCUUGAAGGUUUAUCACGUUAGUAGUUCGGGUUGUUCUUUCAGUUAAUGCUUUUAUUGCUUUUCAUCCCGCACAAUUUUGCUGAAAAACUCAUAUCCCAGAGUAAUAUGAAGUUGGUUACCUGCCAACAGCAGAUUUGGAUUUGUUUUAAAAUAUCACUGCUGUAUGUGUUAUAAACACAAACAUUAGGUAUUAUUAGGUAUUCCUGCUGUAUGUAACGCUGCAGACUUAGCGAACGAGCUGGCUGCUCAGAAUCUCAGUUCCUGUUGGCAGUAACAGGCUGUCGCUUUACCCGUGCCAGUCUCUUAGUGGGAUUCAUUUCUGAAUCUUCAGCUCGCACAUGCCAUGAAUUCAGGGCUGUUGCUCACCCCCCCCACCCCCGAACUUUAAGAUACCCUGUUCAUUAACUACUAAAUUAAUUUCAGUCUCGAUGAGUUGGGGCAAGAAUGGGGCAGGAGGGGUGGGGUUUCCUUUGGCUUAAUUUUGCCUUGUACUUUAUCAGAUUUUUAUGUUCAAGUAGUCCAGGAGAAAUAUUUGAAUUGAAAAGUCACCCAUGUAAUGAUAUGUAUAUGAAUCAUAUCUUUUGCUUCAAAGCCACUUUAAAGAUAACGUGUGUUGUAUUUUGUUACCGUUAGCUCCGAAUUGUAUUAUCCAUUUCCCCUGCGGUUGCUCAUUUGGAAAUGUGUCAAGUACAGAGACGCCUUACAAGAACGAAUGCAAAUCUUAAAGUCGUUUAAACCAGUUUAAAUCUUGAAACCGUUAGAUUAAUCUUAAUUUGCAAUAAUGAAUAAGCAGAAUGUCAGAAAAUUACUCCUUAAAGAUAUAUGACGGUGUGUGUUGGGGGGGGGGGGGGAUUGCGGUAUAUUUGAACAGUCAAUUUACUUAAGGAUUUUUCUGUGAACAAACAACCCUUGCAUAAAUGGAUAAAUGGACGUGGAGCUGAACCUGUGUGAUGUGGCAAUAAACAGGAGGAGAGGGAGAGAGAUGGGCUGGAGCCGACUUGCCUACAAUGACCUGAAAUGACACAGGAAAUAUACACUUAUGUCAUAAUUCUUUCAGAAAUCAAAUCGUUUUCAGUGCGUAUUUUGUUUGUCUGAAACGGCUGUUUUAUUUCACAGAAAAUGAGGGCAAAAUGAGUGCUAGGCACAUAUUUUUUGCGAAUUAAUAAAGAACUGCCAACUCCAUUUACAAGUUAAUUUUUUGUCGGUUAGAGAAGUGCACACAAUACAUCAUGUGUUACACAAUAUCAGUUUAUCACAUCAGUCAAUUAACUACUACUUUGCUGAAUAAAUUGCCUCCCUGCUAUAGAUAUUUAAUGUGAUAUGUGCAAACUAGCUGAAAAAAAUUAAAGUCACUAGUAUUCGUGCAAUUGGUCAUUUGAACAUGAAGCAUCACAAUUUUACAUGUUAUUAUGUUGCUGUUUCCCAUUAUAUGGCACUUGCCUAAAUGUGUAUGUGGAAAUUAUUCAUUUCCAAAUGUCGACUCUCUAUCAAUUCUGUGUGCAAAUAUACUCCGCGAAAUGUUAUAGUGUAAAAAGUUUAAAGCUUUUCCUUAUUCAGAUACGUUUGCACCCUUGAUCAAUCAUGUAGUGUGUGACAAGCAAAGCACAGAUGCUAUUAAUAAUACAACUGUAGAAUGCUUUACCCAUACAUAUUUUAAAAUGGUCUGUAUUAAUUAAAGAACUCUUUUAUAUUGCACGAAUUACCAAUUCACUGAAGUAAUGCGACCACUUCGUUUCUAAAAUGUGUAUUUUAAAUUAUUUUUCAGCCGACUAUUAUAUUUUUAAAAUAAAGCAUCGUGUAUUUUUAUCUUGAAUUUGGUUUUAACACAGGUUUAAUUACCUGUUACAGAAGUGAAAUGAAUGGUAGUUAGUUUUGCUUUAAUAAUUUGUUUUCAGUCUAAACAGAACAUUUAAAAUAUUUCAUUUAUAACAUAAAGCAUUUUAAAGACGGGGCCUGAACAUGACAGUUCUUAGCUCCAAUGCAAAUAGUAUAUCCAUAAUCAUUGGUUGAGAUCAGUUUCCAACACCAUUUAAUUUGUAAAUACAUUUGUGCUUUUGUGUGCAGUUUAAGAUUAAAAAUGUUCAAAUAGUUUAUAUUUUUUAUUUCAUUUCUAAAAUUGUCGGUAGCUUGGUUUAGGUCAAAACAAUUAUAAUACAUUGCAUAUUUUUGUAUUGUGGAUAAGAGAAAGCGAAAAGGGAAUUUUUUUAAAUGCAUCAAUAUCUCACAAAUAAAGGUCGAUGAAAUAAAACUAUAGCUGUAAAAAUUUAUUGCAACUAUUAUUGUCAAGCUGCUUAUCUGUAUUUUAAAUAUAAUAAAUAAAAUCUACCAUGCUAGUAUUUCGACAGCAACGCUAUCGCCAUUUGUAUUAUUCUGAAAUAAAAUUUAAUUCUGCUAUUGAAAACAAUUUGGGAAUAAUAUUAUGUUUAAUGUUACGUUUAUUGAAAUUCAGCUUUCCCUCGCAAGAAAUAUCCUUUGCACGGAUUGAAAGAACGGUGCAAUAACUAAACAUGCAAACGGAAGACCGCCACACAGUGAAUUUAUUUAUCGGCUCUCAGCAAA